UUCGUGGUCUUUUUCGGUUUUGUCAGUGACGUGACAGCAAUGGGAAAAAGUGUUGACCGUCGUUUGCGAGCUAUGGUUUUAACACCCGUUAAAAGCCAAUAGGAGUGUUUCCGACACCAUCAAGUAUACAUAUGUAUGUAUAUGUACACAUAUUAUUGAUCAUCAUCAGUGUUGAAACAUAUGUACAUACAUAUGUACAUACAUACUGUAUCUGUACGAAAUUAGGUGUAAUAGCAGUCACACACACCACACUAAAGCCAUUGUUCUUAACGACGCCAAAUUGAAAAUUCGGUACUUCCAGUAGAUCAACACACUUCUAAAUCUGCACAAAUUCAGCACAGGAUGGCCGUUGCUUUCCCAUUUAUAUUAACAUACAUCUCAGUAAAUAGCAAUUAAUAUAUGUAUGUAAUUAUAACUAUGUUCUUACAUCCGGUUCCGAGGACACAUCACUUUCGACAUUGUAACAUAUUCAGAGUCUUCAAAACAAGUCUCUGUUACUUGGUAUAAAUUAAAUUUAUGCAUUGCUUAAAUAAAUAUGGCUUUAAAUCUGC
This is a long non-coding RNA of Drosophila miranda, 551 nucleotides long. RefSeq lists it as uncharacterized. The record is from RefSeq and is a predicted model, not a curated record. NCBI's taxonomy places the organism in Eukaryota, Metazoa, Arthropoda, Insecta, Diptera, Drosophilidae. The transcript has 2 exons.